This 760-nucleotide ribosomal RNA is filed under the name Psathyrella pseudogracilis. RNAcentral describes it as "eukaryotic LSU rRNA". It matches the Rfam family "Eukaryotic large subunit ribosomal RNA", at positions 131 to 881 of the family's 3401-position model. The record is from RNAcentral. Lineage: Eukaryota; Fungi; Basidiomycota; Agaricomycetes; Agaricales; Psathyrellaceae.
UGGCCAUCCGAGUUGUAAUCUAGAGAAGUGUUACCCGCGUCGGACCGUGUACAAGUCUCCUGGAAUGGAGCGUCAUAGAGGGUGAGAAUCCCGUCUUUGACACGGACUACCGAGGCUUUGUGGUGCUCUCAACGAGUCGAGUUGUUUGGGAAUGCAGCUCAAAAUGGGUGGUAAAUUCCAUCUAAAGCUAAAUAUUGGCGAGAGACCGAUAGCGAACAAGUACCGUGAGGGAAAGAUGAAAAGAACUUUGGAAAGAGAGUUAAACAGUACGUGAAAUUGCUAAAAGGGAAACGCUUGAAGUCAGUCGCGUUGGCCGGAAAUCAGCCUUGCUUUUGCUGGGUGUACUUUCUGGUUGACGGGCCAGCAUCAGUUUUGACCGGUGGAAAAAGUUCGAGGGAAUGUGGCAUCUUCGGAUGUGUUAUAGCCCUUGGUCGUAUACAUCGGUUGGGACUGAGGAACUCAGCACGCCGAAAGGCCGGGUCUUUGACCACGUUCGUGCUUAGGAUGCUGGCAUAAUGGCUUUAAUCGACCCGUCUUGAAACACGGACCAAGGAGUCUAACAUGCCUGCGAGUGUUUGGGUGGAAAACCCGGACGCGUAAUGAAAGUGAAAGUCGAGAUCCCUGUCAUGGGGAGCAUCGACGCCCGGACCAGAAGUUUUCUGACGGCCCUGCGGUAGAGCAUGUAUGUUGGGACCCGAAAGAUGGUGAACUAUGCCUGAAUAGGGUGAAGCCAGAGGAAACUCUGGUGGAGGCUCGUAGC